This 622-nucleotide ribosomal RNA is filed under the name uncultured fungus. RNAcentral describes it as "eukaryotic LSU rRNA". It matches the Rfam family "Eukaryotic large subunit ribosomal RNA", at positions 24 to 664 of the family's 3401-position model. The record is from RNAcentral. Lineage: Eukaryota; Fungi.
CCCGCUGAACUUAAGCAUAUCAAUAAGCGGAGGAAAAGAAACCAACAGGGAUUGCCCUAGUAACGGUGAGUGAAGCGGCAACAGCUCAAAUUUGAAAUCUGGCCUUCGGGUCCGAGUUGUAAUUUGUAGAGGAUGCUUUUGGUGAGGUACCUUCCGAGUUCCCUGGAACGGGACGCCAUAGAGGGUGAGAGCCCCGUCUGGUUGGAUACCGAUCCUCUGUAAAGCUCCUUCGACGAGUCGAGUAGUUUGGGAAUGCUGCUCUAAAUGGGAGGUAUAUGUCUUCUAAAGCUAAAUACUGGCCAGAGACCGAUAGCGCACAAGUAGAGUGAUCGAAAGAUGAAAAGCACUUUGGAAAGAGAGUUAAACAGUACGUGAAAUUGUUGAAAGGGAAGCGCUUGCAAUCAGACCUGCUUGCAGUUAUUCAUCUAAGCUUUCGGGUUUAGUGCAUUUUUCUGUAAGUCAGGCCAGUAUCAGUUCAGGCGGUUGGAUAAAGAAUUCAGGAAUGUAGCUCCUUUCGGGGAGUGUUAUAGCCUGUUUUGUAAUGCAACCAGCCUGGAUUGAGGACCGCGCUUCGGCUAGGAUACUGGCGUAAUGGUUGUAAGCGGCCCGUCUUGAAACACGG